RNAcentral lists this ribosomal RNA (129 nucleotides) under Nannospalax galili (Upper Galilee mountains blind mole rat). The record is from RNAcentral. Lineage: Eukaryota; Metazoa; Chordata; Mammalia; Rodentia; Spalacidae.
GUCUAUGGCAAUACCACCCUGAACAUGCACAAUCUCACCUGAUCUUAGAAGCGAGGCAGUGUCAGGCCUGCUUCAUACUUAGAUGGGAGGAAGGCUGGUUCUUCCCCAAGUGAAUACAGACAAUAGAUA